This 253-nucleotide ribosomal RNA is filed under the name uncultured bacterium. RNAcentral's name for it is "partial 16S ribosomal RNA". It matches the Rfam family "Bacterial small subunit ribosomal RNA", at positions 524 to 776 of the family's 1533-position model. The record is from RNAcentral.
UACGUAGGGGGCUAGCGCUGUCCGGAAUCAUUGGGCGUAAAGAGCGUGUAGGCUGCUCGGUAAGUCCGCUGUAAAAGUCAAAGGCUCAACCUUUGAAUGUCAGUGGAUACUGCCGGGCUAGAGUCCGGAAGAGGCGAGUGGAACUCCUGGUGUAGCGGUGGAAUGCGCAGAUAUCAGGAAGAACACCGGUGGCGAAGGCGGGUCUCUGGGCAACAACUGACGCUGAGGAGCGAAAGCGUGGGGAGCGAACAGG